Betta splendens (Siamese fighting fish) is the source of this 1186-nucleotide long non-coding RNA. NCBI's taxonomy places the organism in Eukaryota, Metazoa, Chordata, Actinopteri, Anabantiformes, Osphronemidae. The record is from Ensembl.
CUUGGCUCCUGUUAGCUUCCCAAUCAGCACUUAUUUUAAUAGGGCCCAGGCGAGCAGGAAGAGAGGGUCAGAGGUUUUGGGGGGGAUCGGGGGGUCACACUCAUGCUGGAAUAGAUGUGCGUGUGUGUAUGCAUGCGUGCGCCGGCUCAAGCACUUUAUAAGUGCGGUGUGUAGCUGAUUCAGGCAGAAAGAGAUAACAGCCAAACAGCUCUGAGAAACACGAUGGCGACGGGAGAUAAAGCAGCGAGCGCACAGACGGACGGGAGGACGGCAAUUAAGCUGAUUCAGGAGAACGAAGAUGAAAGGCAGCGUCCGAGCGAGGCCGCCCGCCGCGCUCGCCGGCGGAGAGGACUGUGUGGGAGAAAGCGUGCGGAGUGGGGGCUAUGGGACGGCGGCGCGUGAAGGGAAUCAGGCCAAAGGUGGUGGUGGUGGUGGUGAGGGGGGGCAGUUUGGCUAAUUGUGAUGCUUGUUUAGCGAGAAAGAGCCAAAAAUUAAAGGACAUUAUAAUCAACAAAUGAGCUGUAGUUUUUAAGGGCCUUCCUUUAAUUGUGAUUUGGUGUGUGUGUGUGUGUGUGUGUGUGUGUGUGUGUGUGUGUGUGUGUGUGUGUGUGUGUGUGUGUGUGUGUGUGUGUGUUUUGGAGCUGCUCUCCCCUGCUCUUUGUAUUUGAUGAGACCCCGGGGAGCGACAGUUUGCACUCUGUCAACAUGCUUUUUUUUUUUUUUUUUUGCUCGUAUCCGACGACUUUGUCGAAACUGAGCCCACGUGAGAGAUUCCUUCCGCCGCCGUUUAUUUGGCACGGGAACGAGGGCUAUGAUGUGGAUUAAUUGCUUGUUAGCCGAGAGGAGCCAAUAAUAACAGGCUAGGAGUGACGCGGGCUUGACAGGACUGGUGUGAUGAUUAACGACGGCGGCGAGCGUUUCAUUUACGACUAUUCAUGUGCGGCGGAGACAUUUGUUUAAAAAAAAGUGCAGCAUAAAUUUUAAUGAGUCAAAUUACUUUUCUUUUUUUUUGGUUCGCAUUGUUUCAGCCAGUGAACAACCGAGUGCACACUUCACUGUUCACUGGGUUUUCUCCUUAAUGUCUUAAUAGUUAAGCGUAUAAAAUUGCACAUUUGACAUUCGUCUGACUUUUUUAUUUUCAUUUAAUCGCUAUGGACUGAACGAGCUUGGAAAUACUUAUUGGAUG